This 78-nucleotide transfer RNA is filed under the name Kytococcus sedentarius. Its description in RNAcentral is "tRNA-Arg(cct)". The record is from RNAcentral. Lineage: Bacteria; Bacillati; Actinomycetota; Actinomycetes; Micrococcales; Kytococcaceae.
CGGCGGCGUGGCGGCCGGGCUGCGGCCCCGCUCCUGGUGGGGCCGGCUGGUCACCGGCACGGCGCUGGUGCUGCAGGC